AUUGAACGCUGGCGGAAUGCUUUACACAUGCAAGUCGAACGGCAGCACGGACUUCGGUCUGGUGGCGAGUGGCGAACGGGUGAGUAAUGUAUCGGAACGUGCCCAGUCGUGGGGGAUAACGUAGUGAAAAUUACGCUAAUACCGCAUACGAUCUAUGGAUGAAAGCGGGGGACCGUAAGGCCUCGCGCGAUUGGAGCGGCCGAUAUCAGAUUAGGUAGUGGGUGGGGUAAAGGCUCACCAAGCCGACGAUCUGUAGCUGGUCUGAGAGGACGACCAGCCACACUGGAACUGAGACACGGUCCAGACUCCUACGGGAGGCAGCAGUGGGGAAUUUUGGACAAUGGGCGCAAGCCCGAUCCAGCCAUUCCGCGUGCAGGAUGAAGGCCCUCGGGUUGUAAACUGCUUUUGUACGGAACGAAAAGGCUCUGGUUAAUACCUGGGGCUCAUGACGGUACCGUAAGAAUAAGCACCGGCUAACUACGUGCCAGCCGCCGCAGUAA
This 500-nucleotide ribosomal RNA is filed under the name uncultured bacterium. RNAcentral's name for it is "partial 16S ribosomal RNA". It matches the Rfam family "Bacterial small subunit ribosomal RNA", at positions 30 to 523 of the family's 1533-position model. The record is from RNAcentral.